GCAUAUCAAUAAGCGGAGGAAAAGAAACCAACAGGGAUUGCCCCAGUAACGGCGAGUGAAGCGGCAACAGCUCAAAUUUGAAAUCUGGUCCCCAGGGCCCGAAUUGUAAUUUGUAGAGGAUGCUUUUGGCGAGGCGCCUUCCGAGUUCCCUGGAACGGGACGCCAUAGAGGGUGAGAGCCCCGUCUGGUCGGAUGCCUAGCCUCUGUAAAGCUCCUUCGACGAGUCGAGUAGUUUGGGAAUGCUGCUCAAAAUGGGAGGUAUAUGUCUUCUAAAGCUAAAUAUUGGCCAGAGACCGAUAGCGCACAAGUAGAGUGAUCGAAAGAUGAAAAGCACUUUGAAAAGAGGGUUAAAAAGUACGUGAAAUUGUUGAAAGGGAAGCGCCUAUGACCAGACUUGGGCCCGGUGAAUCAUCCAGCGUUCUCGCUGGUGCACUUUGCCGGGCACAGGCCAGCAUCAGUUUGGCGCGGGGGAUAAAGACUUUGGGAAUGUGGCUCCCUCGGGAGUGUUAUAGCCCAUUGUGUAAUACCCUGCGCCGGACUGAGGUACGCGCAUUGCAAGGAUGCUGGCGUAAUGGUCAUCAGCGACCCGUCUUGAAACACGGACCAAGGAGUCGUCUUCGUAUGCGAGUGUUCGGGUGUCAAACCCCUACGCGUAAUGAAAGUGAACGCAGGUGAGAGCUUCGGCGCAUCAUCGACCGAUCCUGAUGUUCUCGGAUGGAUUUGAGUAAGAGCAUACGGGGCCGGACCCGAAAGAAGGUGAACUAUGCCUGUAUAGGGUGAAGCCAGAGGAAACUCUGGUGGAGGCUCGCAGCGGUUCUGACGUGCGAAUCGAUCGUCAAAUAUGGGCAUGGGGGCGAAAGACUAAUCGAACCUUCUAGUAGCUGGUUUCCGCGAA
RNAcentral lists this ribosomal RNA (895 nucleotides) under Akanthomyces muscarius. RNAcentral describes it as "LSU rRNA". It matches the Rfam family "Eukaryotic large subunit ribosomal RNA", at positions 38 to 964 of the family's 3401-position model. Lineage: Eukaryota; Fungi; Ascomycota; Sordariomycetes; Hypocreales; Cordycipitaceae. The record is from RNAcentral.